AACGAACGCUGGCGGCAGGCUUAACACAUGCAAGUCGAACGCCCCGCACGGGGAGUGGCAGACGGGUGGGUAACGCGUGGGAACAUACCCUUUUCUACGGAAUAGCUCUGGGAAACUGGAAUUAAUACCGUAUACGACCUACGGGGGAAAGAUUUAUCGGGGAAGGAUUGGCCCGCGUUGGAUUAGCGUGUUGGUGGGGUAAAGGCCUACCAAGGCGACGAUCCAGAGCUGGUCUGAGAGGAGGAUCAGCCACAUUGGGACUGAGACCCGACCCAAACUCCUACGGGAGGCAGCGGAGGGUAAUAUUGGACAAGGGGCGCAAGCCUGAACCAGCCAUGGCGCGUGAGUGAUGAAGGCCUUAGGGUUGUAAAGCUCUUUCACCGAUGAAGAUAAUGACGGUAGUCGGAGAAGAAGCCCCGGCUAACUUCGUG
RNAcentral lists this ribosomal RNA (431 nucleotides) under uncultured bacterium. RNAcentral's name for it is "partial 16S ribosomal RNA". It matches the Rfam family "Bacterial small subunit ribosomal RNA", at positions 29 to 507 of the family's 1533-position model. The record is from RNAcentral.